AAUACGGGCACAGCAGUCUUGCAGAAUACACUGCAAGUGGAAUCGACAGGAACAACGGAGUGCAGACACAGGCGGAGCUUGUCUUAACUGAAAUAAGUCCCUCAGUGGCUAUUUAAAGUGUUUCUGCGUGCACGGCCCGACAUCGGAACCUAGCGUUGUCAAUUCAGGUGAGAGAUGAGGUACAGAUAAUAGAAGUGAACAGUGUAUGUUAAAAUGGUACUGUGCGAGUCACCGGACGUGUAUCAGUAGAAAUUGAGAGUUCUAAAACGCAAGUGCUAGUGAACUGUGUCGACAGAAGGUUGCACAUCGCAAACAAUGAGUACCUCGGAGACGAUGAAGUUAUCACAGGGGUCAACUUCGGCCGUUAAUCAGAAAAAACUGGAGCUCGCAGAAAAAACCGUCAGCAGAUGUGAAACCAGCACCCUUCAAUUAGUUAGGGAACGUAGGAUUGAAUGUAAAAGAUGUGGGUAAGUCCCGCAGCUACGGAAGUAUCCUGGAGGAGAGGAAAAGGUGCGGUUGGAGCGCAAGUGGCAACUCGUCCAUCGUAACAGGUAAGGAGUCUGGGCUGAGCAGUGCUGUGGUUAGCACCUCACUAGCAUCAUUGUGGCUCAUAUUUAUGGAGCUUUGAGGCCAGAAGAGCUUAAGAGCAGUAUUUAUGGAUGCUAAAUUUGGUGAUACUAUUAUCAUGGCAUGGUUUUUGGCCCUAUAAAACUAUAAUUCCGACGCCAAGAAGAUCAGUAAUAGGGUGAGGCCAACAGUACUGCCGUGACUCCAUCGCCACCAUGUUGAUAGCCACUGCAAGUUAAGCCACCAGUACCAUCAGCCUUCCACUAAAUUGUUUAUAUUUGGCACUCUGUAAAUGGACCAGGUAUUUGUGAAAUUUUGUUGAUUUUAAUAAUAAUCUUGGUGUUAAAAACUC
Long non-coding RNA from Schistocerca piceifrons (Central American locust), 919 nucleotides. RefSeq lists it as uncharacterized. The record is from RefSeq and is a predicted model, not a curated record. The transcript has 3 exons. NCBI's taxonomy places the organism in Eukaryota, Metazoa, Arthropoda, Insecta, Orthoptera, Acrididae.